GACGAACGCUGGCGGCGUGCUCAACACAUGCAAGUCGAGCGGUAAGGCCCUUUCGGGGGUACACGAGCGGCGAACGGGUGAGUAACACGUGGGUGACCUGCCCUCAGCUCUGGGAUAAGCCUGGGAAACUGGGUCUAAUACUGGAUAUGACUCCACGGUGCAUGUCGUGGGGUGGAAAGCCUUGUGCGGCUGAGGAUGGGCCCGCGGCCUAUCAGCUUGUUGGG
Molecule: ribosomal RNA, 224 nt
Filed under: uncultured bacterium
Lineage: Bacteria
Description: partial 16S ribosomal RNA
Rfam family: Bacterial small subunit ribosomal RNA
Source: RNAcentral